AGUGAACGCUGGCGGUAGGCCUAACACAUGCAAGUCGAACGGCAGCACAGUAAGAGCUUGCUCUUACGGGUGGCGAGUGGCGGACGGGUGAGGAAUACAUCGGAAUCUACUUUUUCGUGGGGGAUAACGUAGGGAAACUUACGCUAAUACCGCAUACGACCUACGGGUGAAAGCCGGGGAUCUUCGGACCUUGCGCGAUUGAAUGAGCCGAUGUCGGAUUAGCUAGUUGGCGGGGUAAAGGCCCACCAAGGCGACGAUCCGUAGCUGGUCUGAGAGGAUGAUCGGCCACACUGGAACUGGGACACGGUCCAGACUCCUACGGGAGGCAGCAGUGGGGAAUAUUGGACAAUGGGCGCAAGCCUGAUCCAGCCAUACCGCGUGGGUGAAGAAGGCCUUCGGGUUGUAAAGCCCUUUUGUUGGGAAAGAAAAGCAGCAGGUUAAUACCCCGCUGUUCUGACGGUACCCAAAGAAUAAGCACCGGCUAACUUCGUG
RNAcentral lists this ribosomal RNA (492 nucleotides) under uncultured bacterium. RNAcentral's name for it is "partial 16S ribosomal RNA". It matches the Rfam family "Bacterial small subunit ribosomal RNA", at positions 29 to 507 of the family's 1533-position model. The record is from RNAcentral.